Molecule: ribosomal RNA, 468 nt
Filed under: uncultured bacterium
Lineage: Bacteria
Description: partial 16S ribosomal RNA
Rfam family: Bacterial small subunit ribosomal RNA
Source: RNAcentral
GACGAACGCUGGCGGCGUGCUUAACACAUGCAAGUCGAACGGAAAGGCCCUGCUUUUGUGGGGUGCUCGAGUGGCGAACGGGUGAGUAACACGUGAGUAACCUGCCCUUGACUUUGGGAUAACUUCAGGAAACUGGGGCUAAUACCGGAUAGGAGCUCCUGCUGCAUGGUGGGGGUUGGAAAGUUUCGGCGGGUGGGGAUGGACUCGCGGCUUAUCAGCUUGUUGGUGGGGUAGUGGCUUACCAAGGCUUUGACGGGUAGCCGGCCUGAGAGGGUGACCGGCCACAUUGGGACUGAGAGACGGCCCAGUCUCCUACGGGAGGCAGCAGGGGGGAAUAUUGCACAAUGGGCGGAAGCCUGAUGCAGCAACGCCGCGUGCGGGAUGACGGCCUUCGGGUUGUAAACCGCUUUCGCCUGUGACGAAGCGUGAGUGACGGUAAUGGGUAAAGAAGCACCGGCUAACUACGUG